This 374-nucleotide ribosomal RNA is filed under the name uncultured organism. Its description in RNAcentral is "partial 16S ribosomal RNA". It matches the Rfam family "Bacterial small subunit ribosomal RNA", at positions 527 to 896 of the family's 1533-position model. The record is from RNAcentral.
GUAGGUGGCAAGCGUUAUCCGGAAUUAUUGGGCGUAAAGCGCGCGCAGGCGGUUUCUUAAGUCUGAUGUGAAAGCCCACGGCUUAACCGUGGAGGGUCAUUGGAAACUGGGGAACUUGAGUGCAGAAGAGAAAAGCGGAAUUCCACGUGUAGCGGUGAAAUGCGUAGAGAUGUGGAGGAACACCAGUGGCGAAGGCGGCUUUUUUGGUCUGUAACUGACGCUGAGGCGCGAAAGCGUGGGGAGCAAACAGGGAUUAGAUACCCUGGUAGUCCACGCCGUAAACGAUGAGUGCUAAGUGUUAGAGGGUUUCCGCCCCUUUAGUGCUGCAGCUAACGCAUUAAGCACUCCGCCUGGGGAGUACGGUCGCAAGACUG